GAUGAACGCUGGCGGCGUGCCUAAUACAUGCAAGUCGAGCGAACAGACGAGGAGCUUGCUCCUCUGACGUUAGCGGCGGACGGGUGAGUAACACGUGGAUAACCUACCUAUAAGACUGGGAUAACUUCGGGAAACCGGAGCUAAUACCGGAUAAUAUAUUGAACCGCAUGGUUCAAUAGUGAAAGACGGUUUUGCUGUCACUUAUAGAUGGAUCCGCGCCGCAUUAGCUAGUUGGUAAGGUAACGGCUUACCAAGGCAACGAUGCGUAGCCGACCUGAGAGGGUGGGCAGCGAGACGGGAACUGAGAGACGGUGCAGACUACUACGGGAGGCAGCAGUAGGGAAUGUUCCACAAUGGGCGGAAGCUUGAAGGAGCAAGGACGAGGGAGUGAUGAAGGUCGUAGGAUAGUAAAACUCUGUUAUUAGGGAAGAAAAAGUGAGAAAGUAACUAUGCACGUCUUGACGGGACAUAAGCAGAAAGCCAGGGCUAACUACGUG
Molecule: ribosomal RNA, 497 nt
Filed under: uncultured bacterium
Lineage: Bacteria
Description: partial 16S ribosomal RNA
Rfam family: Bacterial small subunit ribosomal RNA
Source: RNAcentral